Long non-coding RNA from Cyprinus carpio (common carp), 736 nucleotides. RefSeq lists it as uncharacterized. Lineage: Eukaryota; Metazoa; Chordata; Actinopteri; Cypriniformes; Cyprinidae. The record is from RefSeq and is a predicted model, not a curated record.
UAAGAAAAAAGAAAUGACAUUUAUACAGCUUUUACCACAAAAUAGUUUGGUGCCCCUGCAAAAGAAUCAAACUUGUUUACUUAUCUUUCUUCAUCUGUAGACUUGUGUCUUGAAAAACCUGUUCCCUAUCAGAGAAGAGUGGGCAGAGAGAGGGAGGGAGAGAGGAGUAGGGGGGUUAUGCAAGUGCGAUCUACUUACAAAAGAGAAGACAAGUUAACAAAUGAAAGAAACAAGUGGAACAAAGGUGAAGAGAAAUGAAAGAAAACUGCUUGUCACUGUGAUAAACGACAUGAGAAGAGACACAAUGAACGGGACAGAUACAAACUGCCAGAAGCGUUAAGAUAUCUGGGCCCAGCUGGGAUGAGCUCACUAACGGGCCAAUAUCAUAUUUCAUUAAUGAGGAGCCACCUGGAGCUCUCAGCCCAACCUGUCCAGGUGCGGGUCCAUUGGUAAGCAUGUGUGAACGCUUGUUUGGAAAGUCCGGUAGUUUUGAGGUGAAGGCUGGUUCCCUUGAGACAGGCUUGCAAAAUGAGGAAUAACGUACUAAUGUCAAUGUUGAGCAGCCAUCUACCCACACACCCACAGAUUCAGGAUUUGAAAACCAAUUUAUGAUGAAAAAACACAUGCAAGUGAAAAAUUUUGUAAUUUACAUGACACAGGCACAUUUUUUUUACAAAGGUACUCACAUGCACCUAACUUGAACUGUCAGUUCUCGUUUUAUAACAAACUUGACAGA